CUUAACUCCAUUCACCUUCCGGUGACCUGCCAGGCAUCCCCCAUACUCCUCCGGUGUCUCAGCAGUCUUUGGAAAACAAGGGGCAAAAUCGUGUGAAUCCCUUUCUGCUAAUUGUCUGAAAAACUACGGUGCUCAAAGGACCAAAAUGUUCCCAGCACCCCUGCUGCGUGCUUUCUCCCGGUGGAAAUCAUUGGCUUUAUUGAAUGAUACAGCUCUCGCCUUCACCCUGUGGAAGGACAAGGCUUAUGAAGGACUGUUGUAGCUCUUGUAUAUACCAUCCACUAUUUGGCCUCUCAUCUUAACAACCAACAGGUCCUGGUUUACACUCAGAACAUCUCUGACAUCACCUUCUUCAGAUCUUGACUCAGGUCUGAGCAGCUGCAGGCCCAGGUGGGACCAAAGAAAACUCCAGCUAUAAAACACCAGAGCUCCAGGAGUCCAAUCAAAGAGAGAGAAGAGGGAUUCUAUGAGCAAGUAUAUCAGGGUCAUGAUGGGGAAACCUGCAGAGAUGACCAAACCAAACUAGUGGGAACUCAUAAAAGUUGGAUCAAUGGCUGUGGAGCCUGCAUGGGACUGGACUAGGCCCUCUGUAUGACAAGACAAUUGUGUAGCUUGAUCUGCUUGGGGGCCCCCUGGUGGUAGGAUCAGAAUCCAUCCCUGGUGCAUGAGCAGGCUUUUUGGAGCCCACUACCUGUGAUGGGAUACCUCUUGCAGCCUUGAGGCAG
Molecule: long non-coding RNA, 725 nt
Organism: Peromyscus eremicus (cactus mouse)
Lineage: Eukaryota; Metazoa; Chordata; Mammalia; Rodentia; Cricetidae
Exons: 3
Source: RefSeq, a predicted model, not a curated record